RNAcentral lists this ribosomal RNA (497 nucleotides) under uncultured bacterium. RNAcentral's name for it is "partial 16S ribosomal RNA". It matches the Rfam family "Bacterial small subunit ribosomal RNA", at positions 28 to 507 of the family's 1533-position model. The record is from RNAcentral.
GAUGAACGCUGGCGGCGUGCCUAAUACAUGCAAGUCGAGCGAACGGACGAGAAGCUUGCUUCUCUGAUGUUAGCGGCGGACGGGUGAGUAACAUGUGGAUAACCUACCUAUAAGACUGGGAUAACUUCGGGAAACCGUAGCUAAUACCGGAUAAUAUUUUGAACCGCAUGGUUCAAAAGUGAAAGACGGUCUUGCUGUCACUUCUAGAUGGUUCCGCGCUGCAUUAGCUAGUUGGUAAGGUAACGGCUUACCAAGGCAACGAUGCAUAGCCGACCUGAGAGGGGGAUCGGCCACACGGGAACUGAGACACGGUCCAGACUCCUACGGGAGGCAGCAGUAGGGAAUCUUCCGCAGUGGGCGAAAGCCUGACGGAGCAACGCCGCGUGAGUGAUGAAGGUCUUCGGAUCGUAAAACUCUGUUAUUAGGGAAGAACAUAUGUGUAAGUAACUGUGCACAUCUUGACGGUACCUAAUCAGAAAGCCACGGCUAACUACGUG